RNAcentral lists this ribosomal RNA (520 nucleotides) under uncultured Glomus. RNAcentral's name for it is "SSU rRNA". It matches the Rfam family "Eukaryotic small subunit ribosomal RNA", at positions 569 to 1093 of the family's 1831-position model. The record is from RNAcentral. Lineage: Eukaryota; Fungi; Glomeromycota; Glomeromycetes; Glomerales; Glomeraceae.
AGCAGCCGCGGUAAUUCCAGCUCCAAUAGCGUAUAUUUAAGUUGUUGCAGUUAAAAAGCUCGUAGUUGAAUUUCGGGAUUAGUACGUUGGUCGUGCCUUAGGUACGUACUGGUGUUACUGGUUCCUACCUUCUGACGAACCAUCAUGUCAUUAAUUUGGUGUGGCGGGGAAUCAGGACUGUUACUUUGAAAAAAUUAGAGUGUUUAAAGCAGGCUCGCGCUUGAAUACAUUAGCAUGGAAUAAUGAAAUAGGACGUUGACCCUAUUUUGUUGGUUUCUAGGAUUGACGUAAUGAUUAAUAGGGAUAGUUGGGGGCAUUAGUAUUCAAUUGUCAGAGGUGAAAUUCUUGGAUUUAUUGAAGACUAACUACUGCGAAAGCAUUUGCCAAGGAUGUUUUCAUUAAUCAAGAACGAAAGUUAGGGGAUCGAAGACGAUCAGAUACCGUCGUAGUCUUAACCAUAAACUAUGCCGACUAGGGAUCGGAUGAUGUUAUUUUUAAUGACUCAUUCGGCGCCUUACGG